RNAcentral lists this ribosomal RNA (332 nucleotides) under uncultured bacterium. RNAcentral's name for it is "bacterial SSU rRNA". It matches the Rfam family "Bacterial small subunit ribosomal RNA", at positions 8 to 334 of the family's 1533-position model. The record is from RNAcentral.
AGGGUUUGAUUAUGGCUCAGGAUGAACGCUAGCGACAGGCUUAACACAUGCAAGUCGAGGGGCAGCACGAUGUAGCAAUACAUUGGUGGCGACCGGCGCACGGGUGAGUAACGCGUAUGCAACCUACCUAUCAGAGGGGAAUAACCCGGCGAAAGUCGGACUAAUACCGCAUAAAACAGGGGUUCCACAUGGAAAUAUUUGUUAAAGAAUUAUCGCUGAUAGAUGGGCAUGCGUUCCAUUAGAUAGUUGGUGAGGUAACGGCUCACCAAGUCCACGAUGGAUAGGGGUUCUGAGAGGAAGGUCCCCCACACUGGUACUGAGACACGGACCAG